RNAcentral lists this long non-coding RNA (258 nucleotides) under Mytilus galloprovincialis (Mediterranean mussel). Lineage: Eukaryota; Metazoa; Mollusca; Bivalvia; Mytilida; Mytilidae. The record is from RNAcentral.
UUGGCGAUUAUCAAAAAGGGGGGUUAAAAAUGGUUGAUUUUGAUAGCUAUUUUACAUCACUGAAAGCUUCAUGGGUUUCCAAAUUUAAUUCAACCACUAUGCCGAACUGGAAGAUUAUUCCUACCAAAUAUUUCAACAAUCUGGGAAAAAAUUAUCUUGUCUUUAACAUGAAUUUAGAUAAUGUUAAAUCACUAAAAGAAUUUGAAAAUAUACCAGACUUUUAUUUGCAAGUAAUUUCAAGCUGGGUGAAAACAGGGG